GCUUUGGACCUUUGAGAGAGUUUAUGGUAAGUCAGUAAUUUUCUAACUGCACAAAAACUAAUGAAUCGGGAUGAACUUGUGAUGACACAGUGAGUCUGUUACUCAGGUUUUAUCCAGAAUGUAAAAAUCAAUUUUUUAUAACCUCACAGCCUCAGAGCAGACAAAGCUUCACGCUUUGCCCCCCCCCCCCGGAUCUCUGGCGGCCCCCUGGAGGCGGGGGGGCGCGGACCCCAUGUUGGGAACCACUGAGUUAGAAGAUGGUGAAAGUGCAGCUAAAGUUAAGUUACCGAAACUACGGAUAAGCAACGUUUCCUUUUACUUCCAGAAAAAUAAAAGCCUCAUAUUUGCUAUUUAUUAAGAAAAUCACUAAAAGCAACACUUCUACCAAGUUUGUUUUAGUUUGUUGGUAUUUAUCAGAGCAGUAGCACAUUUUCCACGGUUUUACUGUCCGUUGUCUUGUUUUAAUCAGUUUUCAGUUCAGUAAUUCAGUCCUUCGGCUGAUUGGACCAACAGACACUGAAGGACUCCGACAGCUGAGUGAAAGUAGCAGUUCCUCCUGAAGGUCAGAGAUUGCAGCAUCUGAGGGCCUCUUCAAAAGAAGACGUAGCUGAUGAAGGUAUUCUGGAGCAGGACCAGAAAGACCACGACCAAGCAGCCUUGAGAUCUUAGGCAGCGUCUCCCUCAGGUCCCUCUCUAUCUCCCCACACAUCCACCAACCACUGGAACACAUCUCCAAAGUUCUGCUGGACCAGCUCAGCUUCCCCUCAGAAGAAGUGCUGCCACCUGCCAGAUGAAGGAGCCUUUUGAGAGGCAGCUGGCAUCGUGAUUGGACUGUACUUUGGUCUGUUCCAAUCCAGCUUCAGCUCCAGAGACGGCAGGCGGGACGAGUCAACGGAGGCCGGGUGGACGAAGGCAUGCAGCUGAGUACAAUCCAGAAAACAACAGAGGAGGAGUGCAGCAGCCCAGAGCCAGAACAACCAGAGUAGCAUCGUAUGUCUCUUAGAAAACAUCAUAGUAUAGCCUUUGGUAUGAAAAAACACCAUCAUAUACAUCGUAUAUUGUACAAAUAACAAGUCAAAGGAAAGAGAGAUACACUGUAGAAUUGUAGUAAUUGUGGGCUGACUGAUUUACUGAUUAGCAGUAUUUUAUUUUUUACUGAUUUACGGUAAUAAAUACAUUUAAAAAUGG
Long non-coding RNA from Amphiprion ocellaris (clown anemonefish), 1188 nucleotides. RefSeq lists it as uncharacterized. The transcript has 3 exons. NCBI's taxonomy places the organism in Eukaryota, Metazoa, Chordata, Actinopteri, Pomacentridae. The record is from RefSeq and is a predicted model, not a curated record.